AGCACCAGGGGAUUUUUCUUACAUAUUUACCAUGAGAACCUAAUAGAGCUCCAGGUGGUAGGACUCACAAAAGUGUGGGGCUUCUCUGUGAUUGGGUCCUCCUGGAGUUUUUAACUCUGAGGCUUGUCUACACCAAGCCUCCAGCAUUUCAUCGGUUACACUUUAGGUUUUCCUACCCCAGCACUGCUUCCUACAGAGGCUCUGUCUCAGUUUUCCAGCUGGGACAUAGUUUUUCUUCUGUCUUUCCACAUGGAUUCGAACUAACACCAUCAGCUCGCCUGCUUCUCAGACCUUCAGACUCAGAUGGAACUACACUAUAGGUUCUCCUGGGUCUGGACUUCUCAGCCUCCAUAAUCAGAGGUUUUCCUCAAAUGUGUGAUGACCUUAGCUGACCAUUUUUUUUUUAAAGAACUUCUAACAUUUUUCAUUAAGGGACGGACUGUUGUGCAGACUCAGGCAGCUCACUCGGGGCUGGGCAGCAGACAGUGAUUAUCGUCACCCCCUGCUUUCAUCCAUUACGGCGGGUGUUAGCAGAUGUGGGAUUUGAGACCCAAAGAAGUGAAGUAACCUGCCCAAGUUUACACAGCUUGGAGUAGAACCCGAGUUUCUAUGGACUCCAGAGCUCAUGAGUUCACCACUUUUCUGUGCCUCCUAACUCGAUGCCGCUGAGGACUCAGAAGAAGCCAGUGCUAAUGCUUUCUCCAGUUUCUCUCCUCUUGUGUGAACUGUGUGAACUGCCACUUUAAGACUCUCUUGGAGAAUCAUAAUCCAAGUUGCGAAGUCCAACAAUUCCUCUGGAGAAAUGGUUCUCAACUGGGGGCAAAUUUGGGCCCCAGGAGACAUAUGGCAAUGUCUGACAAUGUUUUUUUGAUUGUUACAAACAGGUUGGGGAGAGAGUCCUGCUAGCAUCUAGUUGGUAGAGGCCAGGGAUAAUGCUGAACAGCCUGCAGGACACCCCGAACCCCAUCAAAGACCCAAAACGUCAAUGGUACUGAGGUUGAAAAACCCUGGUCUGG
This 1016-nucleotide long non-coding RNA is filed under the name Homo sapiens (human). RNAcentral describes it as "HSALNT0092592". The record is from RNAcentral. Lineage: Eukaryota; Metazoa; Chordata; Mammalia; Primates; Hominidae.